AUGCCCCAUGAUCACAGCCCAAUGGAGCAGUAUCAGACUCAUGUUCUGACUAGAAUCUGAGUCUGAUGACGUCAGGCUAGGUCUGGCUAUGAAAAAUAAG
This is a long non-coding RNA of Sander lucioperca (pikeperch), 100 nucleotides long. RefSeq lists it as uncharacterized. The transcript is spliced from 3 exons. NCBI's taxonomy places the organism in Eukaryota, Metazoa, Chordata, Actinopteri, Perciformes, Percidae. The record is from RefSeq and is a predicted model, not a curated record.